This 316-nucleotide ribosomal RNA is filed under the name Salmonella enterica. Its description in RNAcentral is "partial 23S ribosomal RNA". It matches the Rfam family "Bacterial large subunit ribosomal RNA", at positions 1467 to 1773 of the family's 2925-position model. The record is from RNAcentral. Lineage: Bacteria; Pseudomonadati; Pseudomonadota; Gammaproteobacteria; Enterobacterales; Enterobacteriaceae.
GGGGGACGGAGAAGGCUAUGUUGGCCGGGCGACGGUUGUCCCGGUUUAAGCGUGUAGGUGUGUGUUCCAGGUAAAUCCGGUUCACUUUAACACUGAGGCGUGAUGACGAGGCACUACGGUGCUGAAGCAACAAAUGCCCUGCUUCCAGGAAAAGCCUCUAAGCAUCAGGUAACAUCAAAUCGUACCCCAAACCGACACAGGUGGUCAGGUAGAGAAUACCAAGGCGCUUGAGAGAACUCGGGUGAAGGAACUAGGCAAAAUGGUGCCGUAACUUCGGGAGAAGGCACGCUGACACGUAGGUGAAGUGAUUUACUCA